UACGUAGGGUGCGAGCGUUAUUCGGAAUUACUGGGCGUAAAGCGUGCGUAGGUGGUUCGUUGUGUCUGUGGUGAAAGCCCCGGGCUUAACCUGGGAAUGGCCAUGGAUACUGGCGAGCUGGAGUCUGGCAGAGGGGGGUGGAAUUCCGCGUGUAGCAGUGAAAUGCGUAGAGAUGCGGAGGAACACCGAUGGCGAAGGCAGCCCCCUGGGCUAAGACUGACGCUGAGGCACGAAAGCGUGGGGAGCAAACAGG
This 253-nucleotide ribosomal RNA is filed under the name uncultured bacterium. RNAcentral's name for it is "partial 16S ribosomal RNA". It matches the Rfam family "Bacterial small subunit ribosomal RNA", at positions 524 to 776 of the family's 1533-position model. The record is from RNAcentral.